This 427-nucleotide ribosomal RNA is filed under the name uncultured bacterium. Its description in RNAcentral is "bacterial SSU rRNA". It matches the Rfam family "Bacterial small subunit ribosomal RNA", at positions 354 to 796 of the family's 1533-position model. The record is from RNAcentral.
GUGGGGAAUAUUGCGCAAUGGGCGAAAGCCUGACGCAGCGACGCCGCGUGUGGGAUGAAGGUCUUCGGAUUGUAAACCACUGUCGGGAGGGACGAAGCUCUGACGGUACCUCCAAAGGAAGCACCGGCUAACUCUGUGCCAGCAGCCGCGGUAAUACAGAGGGUGCGAGCGUUGUCCGGAAUCACUGGGCGUAAAGGGCGCGUAGGCGGCCGAGUAAGUAGGGGGUGAAAUCUCACAGCUCAACUGUGAGGCUGCCUCCUAAACUGCUUGGCUUGAGCACAGUAGAGGCGAGUGGAAUUCCCGGUGUAGCGGUGGAAUGCGUAGAGAUCGGGAAGAACAUCGGUGGCGAAGGCGGCUCGCUGGGCUGUAGCUGACGCUGAGGCGCGAAAGCGUGGGGAGCAAACAGGAUUAGAUACCCCAGUAGUCC